Molecule: ribosomal RNA, 388 nt
Filed under: Pseudo-nitzschia pungens
Lineage: Eukaryota; Bacillariophyta; Bacillariophyceae; Bacillariales; Bacillariaceae
Description: partial Bacterial large subunit ribosomal RNA
Rfam family: Bacterial large subunit ribosomal RNA
Source: RNAcentral
AUCAGAAGUGCGAAUGCUGACGUGAGUAACGACAAUGCGAGUGAAAAACUCGCACGCUGAAAGACCAAGGGUUCCAGUCCAACGUUAAUCGGGGCUGGGUGAGUCGACCCCUAAGGCGAGGCCGAGAGGCGUAGUCGAUGGGAAAUUGGUUAAUAUUCCAAUACUUCUGUGUAAUGCGAUGAGAGGACGGAGAAGGUUAAGUCAGCCUGGCGUUGGUUGUCCAGGUGAAAGGCAGUAGGCAUGCAUCUUAGGCAAAUCCGGGGUGCUCUAUGCUGAGAGCUGAUAGCAAGCUGUACUUGUACAGUGAAGUGGCUGAUACCAUACUUCCAAGAAAAGUCUCUAAGCUUCAGUUACACAGGAAUCGUACCCUAAACCGACACAGGUGGCC